AAGGGCACCACAAGAACGCGUGGAGCAUGUGGAUUAAUUUGACUCAACACGGGAUACCUUACCAGGUCCGUCCACAUUAAGGAUUGACAGGUGAUAAUUAUUAGUAAUUUAUUAUUAAUAAUGCAAAUAUGAUAGUCCUUUCAUGAUUAUGUGAUAGGUGGUGCAUGGCCGUUCAUAGUUCGUGGAGUGAUCUGUAUGGUUAAUUGCGCUUCAGAUUAAACAUGUUAUAUAAAAAUUAGAGUUUGAGUUUAUUUAUAUCAAUUUAGUUAUUUAUUCCUAUUAACUUUAUAUAUACAUUUAUUGAAUGCAACGAACGUGACCG
This 322-nucleotide ribosomal RNA is filed under the name Foraminifera environmental sample. RNAcentral describes it as "SSU rRNA". It matches the Rfam family "Eukaryotic small subunit ribosomal RNA", at positions 1160 to 1447 of the family's 1831-position model. The record is from RNAcentral. Lineage: Eukaryota; Foraminifera.